UACGUAGGGUGCAAGCGUUAAUCGGAAUUACUGGGCGCAAAGCGUGCGCAGGCGGUUUUGUAAGUUUGUCGUGAAAGCCCCGGGCUCAACCUGGGAAUGGCGAUGAAGACUGCAAGGCUUGAAUCUGGCAGAGGGGGGUAGAAUUCCACGUGUAGCAGUGAAAUGCGUAGAGAUGUGGAGGAACACCGAUGGCGAAGGCAGCCCCCUGGGUCAAGAUUGACGCUCAUGCACGAAAGCGUGGGGAGCAAACAGG
This 253-nucleotide ribosomal RNA is filed under the name uncultured bacterium. RNAcentral's name for it is "partial 16S ribosomal RNA". It matches the Rfam family "Bacterial small subunit ribosomal RNA", at positions 524 to 776 of the family's 1533-position model. The record is from RNAcentral.